AACGAACGCUGGCGGCGUGGCUAAGACAUGCAAGUCGAACGGUACGUUGUAGCAAUAUGGCGUAUAGUGGCGAACGGGUGAGUAAUGAAUAGGUAACGUGCCCCGGGCGACAGGAAUAACCGCCCGGGAACGUUACGGUUCCCUUUGUCGAAAGUAGGCGUUAAUACCUGAUGACAUCACCGGACGGCGAUCUUUUGGUUGAUCAAAGGGU
This 211-nucleotide ribosomal RNA is filed under the name uncultured bacterium. RNAcentral describes it as "partial 16S ribosomal RNA". It matches the Rfam family "Bacterial small subunit ribosomal RNA", at positions 29 to 209 of the family's 1533-position model. The record is from RNAcentral.